RNAcentral lists this ribosomal RNA (460 nucleotides) under uncultured bacterium. Its description in RNAcentral is "partial 16S ribosomal RNA". It matches the Rfam family "Bacterial small subunit ribosomal RNA", at positions 338 to 795 of the family's 1533-position model. The record is from RNAcentral.
CCUACGGGGGGCAGCAGUGAGGAAUAUUGGUCAAUGGACGAGAGUCUGAACCAGCCAAGUAGCGUGAAGGAUGACUGCCCUAUGGGUUGUAAACUUCUUUUAUAUGGGAAUAAAACGUUCCACGUGUGGGAUUUUGUAUGUACUAUAUGAAUAAGGAUCGGCUAACUCCGUGCCAGCAGCCGCGGUAAUACGGAGGAUCCGAGCGUUAUCCGGAUUUAUUGGGUUUAAAGGGAGCGUAGGUGGAUUGUUAAGUCAGUUGUGAAAGUUUGCGGCUCAACCGUAAAAUUGCAGUUGAAACUGGCAGUCUUGAGUACAGUAGAGGUGGGCGGAAGUCGUGGUGUAGCGGUGAAAUGCUUAGAUAUCACGAAGAACUCCGAUUGCGAAGGCAGUUCACUGGACUGCAACUGACACUGAGGCUCGGAAGUGUGGGUAUCAAACAGGAUUAGAUACCCCAGUAGUC